Pelobates cultripes (western spadefoot toad) is the source of this 241-nucleotide non-coding RNA. The record is from the annotation of a GenBank genome assembly. NCBI's taxonomy places the organism in Eukaryota, Metazoa, Chordata, Amphibia, Anura, Pelobatidae.
CCUGUCAAGGCCCUAUUCCACUUAUGCUGCUCAAGUUUCAUGGGGCGACAGUAUGGUGUUAGGAGACACUGCAAGCUGUAGUGGCUAUGGUGUGAGAACAGACUACAGCAUGACAUUUAAGGCACUGUCACAGGCAGGGAAAGGAUCACAUCUGAACUACAAAUACAUACUCUAAUCUAGCAGACCUAAAACCAAUCCCUAGAUGACUGCUAGCUAGGGUAUAGUGCUCUUAGACCGUGAU